Molecule: long non-coding RNA, 1456 nt
Organism: Peromyscus californicus insignis
Lineage: Eukaryota; Metazoa; Chordata; Mammalia; Rodentia; Cricetidae
Exons: 5
Source: RefSeq, a predicted model, not a curated record
CCUCAUUCCACAGUGUGUGCUCCACGGAGAUGCCACCGUCCCCAGACAGUGGCUCCUUUGUGUGCUGUUCAGUGGUGUGGGAGGAACAGCCUGAGAGGGCCCUUGCUUAGAAGAAAGCCAAAGCCACACACUGCCUUCCUGGGACGGUGUUUGCGCCUGCAUUCCAGUCAGCUCACCAGGUUUAGGUCAUCGCCUCUGUUUAUAACACACAGCAAAUGGCAGGUUGUUGCAGAAUAUUACUUUAACUGUGUAGAGAUGUGUUCCAUUUCUUUAUGCUGCAGAAUAUUACUUUAACUAUGCAAAGCCAGGGAGACGCCAGGGGCCAGCCAGACAUGGAGGAAGCAGGAAAGUAGGACACACGGAAUGAAAGAAAGCUGGUUGGUGGUCGUAAGAAAAUUCCAACUACAGAAUGGGGUGUCAGAUCCCUGAGGCUGGAGUUACAGUGGUCGUGAGUCAGCACGUGGUUCUGGGAACCAGAAGGGUCCUCUUAGCACCGAACUGUCUCUCCAGACACGGUCAUGGCAUCGCUGUCCAACUUGGCAACUGGUGGCCCCUCGCCUCAGGACACCCUUCUGGUUGUUGAGACACCUGGCUCCUCCGUCCUCUGUUCUGUUCCAGAAACGCUGUGACAGCAGCUUGGUCUGGCAAGGAGGCCCGAUGUCUGACCCAAUGACUGACGGCAUUAGAUCUGUAUUGACGCUAUGGGCAUCUGUCGGUUGCUUCCUCUUUCGACAAGUUUUUCAGUUAGUCUCUUCCACAAGGGAUAAAGCAGCAGCCUACACUCCUGUUACAGUCUGGAGAGAUCGCUCAGUGGUUAGAGGUCCCAGGUUCAAUUCCCCAGCACAUGGUGACUCACAACUGUCUGUAACUCCAGUCCCAGGGAAUCCAAUGUUCUCUUUGCUCUCUGUGGGCAAACACACAUACAAAAUAAAUAAAUAGCUCAAAAAAAAAAUCUAACCCAGUACUAAUUCCAAGUGAAGUCGGGACUGAAACCUUCACCUCUUCCGUUCUGCAAACACCCUCGAGUGGACAGUCACUUCCUGCGUCGGAUGCUCCCUCGCUGGCCAAGGGCCCUGGGAAUGUUCCCCUCCAGAGCUGAAUAAUGGGACUAAAAUGUAACACCUCCUACCACUCAAAACACAAGCCCUCUAACAGGCCCCAGUUAGCACAUCCGACUCCAUGGUGAACGUACCGUUCAGGUCCUAAACUCAGCAGGUAGACAGCACCCCCUGUCAAAAUGAAAACACAGGCCUCAUCCACCAAAGGCCACAGUUCUGGGACAGUCUCUGAAUGUACUGACCUCGCUUUUUGGCUUCUGUGGUUCUGCUUCUGGCUAACUGUUCUUGCUAACGGAGGCAUGUCACCCCAGGACAUGGCUAAGGAAGGCUCAGGGCUACAGUGGGAUCCUGAGCACCCAGUCACCAGCUGACUAAUAAAGACUUGCUGUGGUCUUGAA